ACGUAGGUGGCGAGCGUUGUCCGGAAUUAUUGGGCGUAAAGCGCGCGCAGGUGGUUAUACAAGCCUCAUUUAAAAGUGCUGAGCUCAACUCAGUGAUGGGUGAGAAACUGUAUGACUUGAGUGCAGGAGGGGUAGGCGGAAUUCCUAGUGUAGCGGUGAAAUGCGUAGAUAUUAGGCGGAGCCCCAGAGGCGAAGGCGGCCUACUGGACUGCAACUGACUCUGAGGCGCGUAAGCCAGGGGAACACACGG
RNAcentral lists this ribosomal RNA (250 nucleotides) under uncultured prokaryote. RNAcentral describes it as "partial 16S rRNA". It matches the Rfam family "Bacterial small subunit ribosomal RNA", at positions 525 to 775 of the family's 1533-position model. The record is from RNAcentral.